UGUUUGUUUAGCAGGCUGUCAGCAGUGUGUCUGCCCGGAAUAACUUUAGCGAGUGUCCAACAAACUGUGUGUGUUUGUGUUACUUUAGCAUCUCUAGCGUUGCCGGAGGCUUCAUGCUCGCCGUCGCCGCCACACGUAGUCUGCGUAACUUUAGUGAGUGUCCAACAGACCGUGUGUGUGUAUUAGUGGUGAGUGUGAGGUUGUUGGUGGCGUUCUAGCUGUGAAUGUAGGUAUAGCUUAAU
Sebastes umbrosus (honeycomb rockfish) is the source of this 242-nucleotide long non-coding RNA. RefSeq lists it as uncharacterized. The transcript is spliced from 4 exons. NCBI's taxonomy places the organism in Eukaryota, Metazoa, Chordata, Actinopteri, Perciformes, Sebastidae. The record is from RefSeq and is a predicted model, not a curated record.